RNAcentral lists this ribosomal RNA (253 nucleotides) under uncultured bacterium. RNAcentral describes it as "partial 16S ribosomal RNA". It matches the Rfam family "Bacterial small subunit ribosomal RNA", at positions 524 to 776 of the family's 1533-position model. The record is from RNAcentral.
GACGAACCGUCCAAACGUUAUUCGGAAUCACUGGGCUUAAAGGGCGCGUAGGUGGGUUGGCCAGUCUAUGGUGAAAUCCUCCGGCUUAACCGGAGAACUGCCGUGGAUACUGCCAGUCUCGAGGAGGGUAGGGGCGUCUGGAACUAGCGGUGGAGCGGUGAAAUGCGUUGAUAUCGCUAGGAACUCCGGUGGCGAAGGCGAGACGCUGGACCCUUUCUGACACUGAGGCGCGAAAGCUAGGGGAGCAAACGGG